UAGGGAAUCUUCGGCAAUGGACGAAAGUCUGACCGAGCAACGCCGCGUGUGUGAAGAAGGUUUUCGGAUCGUAAAACUCUGUUGUUAGAGAAGAACAAGGACGUUAGUAACUGAACGUCCCCUGACGGUAUCUAACCAGAAAGCCACGGCUAACUACGUGCCAGCAGCCGCGGUAAUACGUAGGUGGCAAGCGUUGUCCGGAUUUAUUGGGCGUAAAGCGAGCGCAGGCGGUUUCUUAAGUCUGAUGUGAAAGCCCCCGGCUCAACCGGGGAGGGUCAUUGUAUUCUAGGAGACAUGAGUGCAGAAGGGGAGAGUGGAAUUCCAUGUGUAGCGGUCAAAUGCGUAGAUAUAUGGAGGAACUCCAGUGGCGAAGGCGGCAAUCUGGUCUGUAACUGACGCUGUGGCUCGAAGGCGUGGGGAGCAAACAGG
This 429-nucleotide ribosomal RNA is filed under the name Gemmatimonadota bacterium. RNAcentral's name for it is "Gemmatimonadetes bacterium partial 16S ribosomal RNA". It matches the Rfam family "Bacterial small subunit ribosomal RNA", at positions 355 to 776 of the family's 1533-position model. Lineage: Bacteria; Pseudomonadati; Gemmatimonadota. The record is from RNAcentral.